GAUGAAGAAACGCAGCGAAAUGCGAUAAGUAAUGUGAAUUGCAGAAUUCAGUGAAUCAUCGAAUCUUUGAACGCACAUUGCGCCCGCCAGCAUUCUGGCGGGCAUGCCUGUUCGAGCGUCAUUUCAACCCUCAAGCUCUGCUUGGUGUUGGGGCCCUACGGUUGACGUAGGCCCUUAAAGGUAGUGGCGGACCCUCUCGGAGCCUCCUUUGCGUAGUAACUAACGUCUCGCAUUGGGAUUCGGAGGGACUCUUGCCGUAAAACCCCCAAAUUUUCUAAUGGUUGACCUCGGAUCAGGUAGGAAUACCCGCUGAACUUAAGCAUAUCAAUAAGCGGAGGA
Molecule: unclassified non-coding RNA, 339 nt
Filed under: soil metagenome
Description: partial contains 5.8S ribosomal RNA, internal transcribed spacer 2, and large subunit ribosomal RNA
Rfam family: 5.8S ribosomal RNA (bases 1-121)
Source: RNAcentral